Molecule: ribosomal RNA, 119 nt
Filed under: Lepisosteus oculatus (spotted gar)
Lineage: Eukaryota; Metazoa; Chordata; Actinopteri; Semionotiformes; Lepisosteidae
Source: RNAcentral
UACAGCAGCCAUUUCACCCUGCAUCUCACAAGUGGAAACCCCCUGAAGCUCAGCAGUUGUGAGCCUGGUCAGUACCUGGAUGGGAGACCUCCUGGGAAAAACUAAGGCUGCUGCUGGAA